AGCGAACGUUUGCGGCGGGCCUAACACAUGCAAGUCGAACGCACUAGCAAUAGUGAGUGGCGCACGGGUGCGUAACACGUGGGUAAUCAACCCUUCAGCUUGGGAUAACGACUUGAAAGGGUCGCUAAUACCGGAUACGGCGCGGGAGGCUUCGGCUUCUCACGAGAAAGCCUCGCAAGGGGCACUGAAGGACGAGCCUGCGGCCCAUCAGCUAGUUGGUGAGGUAAGAGCUCACCAAGGCGAAGACGGGUAGCUGGUCUGAGAGGAUGAUCAGCCACACUGGAACUGAGACACGGUCCAGACUCCUACGGGAGGCAGCAGUGGGGAAUAUUGCGCAAUGGGCGAAAGCCUGACGCAGCCACGCCGCGUGAGCGAUGAAGGCCUUCGGUCGUAAGACUCUGUGGGGAGGAGACGAAGAAAGACCCGUGAAGAGCGGGCCGUUGACGGGUAUCUCCUUAGCAAGCACCGGCUAACUCCGUGCCAGCAGCCGCGGUAAU
Molecule: ribosomal RNA, 497 nt
Filed under: uncultured bacterium
Lineage: Bacteria
Description: bacterial SSU rRNA
Rfam family: Bacterial small subunit ribosomal RNA
Source: RNAcentral